This 3873-nucleotide ribosomal RNA is filed under the name Triticum aestivum (bread wheat). RNAcentral's name for it is "partial small subunit ribosomal RNA". Lineage: Eukaryota; Viridiplantae; Streptophyta; Magnoliopsida; Poales; Poaceae. The record is from RNAcentral.
GGGGGGCGGGCGGAGAGGGGAUUUGGGAUCGUGCGCUCGGGGCUUAGGGGUGUGAGUGGCNNNGCUAGCGGCUGCGCUGGGUUGGGGCGCCGGCGGGCAUCGCCGGCGGCGGCGGCGUGUACUGGUACCACUGAGGAGCGCGGGGGCUCGGCGGCGGCGUCCUGGUCCUGCUCCUCUACGAACACGGUGUUGUCCUUCACCUCCAGAAACUCCCCGGCGUCGGCUACCUUCUUAGGUACGGUCGACAACUGUUACUUUCAAACGGACUACGUAGUUGAAGGUCUAAAUGUACCUUCUAACUUUCAUAUAGGUUCGUGUCACCAUCUUUUUGGGUGAGACUAUAAAAACACCAACCCCCAAUGUCGACCGCUCACAACCAAAAGGGGUGUCCUUUGUUACAUUUAGUGGAAAGUUACAUAGACCUACAACGACUACGGUUCAGAAAUGGAUAACCGACCUCAUCCUCACGGGUUAAAUCGGAACGACACUAGUUGGUUAAUCUGUCGUUCGUGAGUCAUUCUUUUCUUCAUUGUGUAUGUAAAUUAAGAGCUCUUUCACUAACCCCAAAAUGCAGGAAAUACGGAAAUUAACUAGAUAUACUAGGAUCAUUUCCAAUAUAACACUUGCUAGUUACGUAGUAACUUCGACUCCAACGACACGCAUUUUAACACCUAAUGACCUUGAUGCUGAGUUUUUUCCUCUGACCAAUACAACCAGAGUUCUUAGUUCCACGGUGAACAAUGUACUUAAGCGACGAGGUCUGUGAGAUGGUAUAAGGGAUGAAAUCCUUCCGACACAUGGUAUACGGAUGACAGCUAUGUGGAAGUCCCUCGUAAGGAAAUCGAAACGUUUCAGAAAAGAUGUCUGAAGUCGUACCACUGUUAUCAUAAAGGUGUUUUCUCGACUGAUUUAGAAAACCUACCCUAAGGAUACUCAGCAAAUACGUCGUACUACAGGUUCUCAACUUAGCCCAAGAUACACUUUUCGACCUUCUAUUUUACUUCCCUUGAUAACACCUUCCUUGUUAUGUUUUUAAUAAACUUCCAGUGGUAUACUUAAUAUAACUCACGUAACCACAACUGAUGUUUAGAUGAUCUUUUCUCAGUAAGAUACUAGAGCGUGAACUACAGUUCCCGACGAGCCUACAAAUACGUAGAAAACUAUUCAUACAUCGACAUCUCUACAACCUACCACUAUUAUUCAUAGUUAGACUUUUUAUGCCGGACGUCCUACGGUUCUUUCCCUACGAAAAAUAACUAAAGGGAGGUCAAGACGUUGAAGUUGACUUCGCCAAACUUAUACUAGUACGUGCCCUAUAUUACCAAUUCUAUUUGCUGGCAAUACUCAAGGGUGAAGUCAACCUAGAACUGUCUCUACUGCCCUUUAUAGAGAGAGGUCUUCGACUAUCCUCACACGCGUUGGAGAUAUGAGAAGUGUCACACGAUCAAGUGUCACCACCUCAAUCACCACCUGUGAUGAUACGGAAGUAGGCGGGAUGGGAAAGAUUAGUUACCAUGUUCAAGCUACUACUUGCUCACUGUUUUCUUCUGGACUUUGCCCGCAACCUCCUCGUCAUACCACCGCUCCUUCUCGAGGGGGUAUGAUUAGGACCUGACUUAUACUUGGGUGAAUUUAAAUGGUUCAUAAGUUUACGAAUGUACGAACACAUGUAUGCACUUUCACUGUUUCUCUUUUAACAAACACUAAACCUUCUCUGUCUGUAGUUACUUCUGGAAUUCUGAUCCGAUUCUUUCCUUCUGCUUCUGUUUCUCUUGUUCUUUUUUCUCUUUCGACUCCGAGUGUACAAGUGGUGUAAAUUCCACCGGUCUCUAGUACUAAACCGUCGUGUUUAACCUGCUCUGAACAAAAAACUAGAGCACCUAAUACUUUUUUAAGUAGGAUAGGCACAUGAAUUUCUGUACGGUAAGUUGGUCCAAUUCCUCCUCAAGAGCUUUCUUAAACCAUAGGGGCAGGUGAGGGUCUCUAAAACCACCACCAGAUUCGCCGUCUUGUUGUGGAUGUCCGGGUGAGCCGGUAAUUGAGUUGUCCUCCUUAGUAUAUGACAACCUGUCGAAUUUCUACGUCGUUAAGCUUACUUGUCAAGACUUAACUCCAACAUGAACCUCCAACAUGUCCUCUUAGUAAACUGAGAACGAAGCUCCUGUUUCCUACUAUAAAACGAAAAGAAGUUCGAGAUACUGGGACUUUUUCUUCUUGAUUCUAUACAACCCUUAGAAGAGAACUUUCGUAGUUCAUUCGGUAGACUAUAUCACGGUUUUAACUUGCUCUAUCGUCCUAAAGUCGUGCUACUUCUGUAACUCAACAUGCUCCUUUAUUUUAAACUCGGUUUAUAAUACACACUUGGUCAACUGACACUACAAAGGAAGUCAAAUUUGGUCUAACGUCUACCUCUGUAUAACACGAUGGUUUUUGCAACAAGAGACCUGGUUGUGGCUGUAGGGUUACAUAGAAGAAAGAAACUUAUACAGGUAUUAUCUGUCCAACACGUGAAGUCUAACGAACUUUUCGGUUUUGUUCUGCUGAAGAGAGAUCUUGAUAGUUUUGCAAGGUGUAUACUACUACAACAACUCUUUCAACGUGUUGUAGAACCAUACCUACUAGGAAGUUUUGAGGCGGAAUGAGUCGUGUAGGGAGUAAAUGUCGUUGGCUUUGUAGUUAUGUAGUUCAUAUCUUCAUAACUAGUAGAAAGCCUGUACAAUGAAAAUGCAUUGGGGUUAGUCUACAGACUGUAAAAUAUAAUACUUUAUGACCUGUAAGGAAACGGUCUUGACGUUCCAGACUAUUGUAACUCUCAACGAAAAGUGGUUCGAUGUGGAUUACUCCACGACAAAGUGUAAUAUGCUAACGGUUUCCCAUCGUGAAUAAGACUAAACUAGCUGCUGAAUUUUAGUUUCCAAGUCGAUAGAGCUUCACUACGACUCGAAUCCGAUAAAGUCCAGUUGUUAUUGUUCUAUACCUUCCACAUGGACGGAUGACUCUUUUAUCUACGUCAAGUACUAGGUUUACAUGGAGAAGUACAACUCCUCUAAGGACUUCAUCUCUUUUCACGGCCAGGCGCUCUGGCAAACCAAGUACAGCAGGUGAAGAAGUUUCUAUUGGUCGUGUAAGUUAUGAUACCUGACGGUAAGAAGAAGGAAUAAGCACUCCCACUCCGAAACAGUCUAUAGUUUCACGCGUAAGUUUUCUUUAAACUCCAAGGUCUGCUCGUCAAAGAAUUCACCUUUAAACGAAUACAACGGAUGUUAGCGGGCCUAAUGGAAGUUCUAAGUCUAUAACACAACUCGGCUAAGGUCUUUUUGUAAAUACCUGGUACCCUUGUUAGGGAUCCUGACCUCGUGAGUCUGUACGGGUGGUUUUCCCGGUUAGUCUUAGCGGUAAGAAAACUUUUCGGCCACUUCUAGAUGUUGAUUUCUACGGCUAUAAAAGUCAAGACUGGACUGCCAAAGAGAUUUGCUUACCCGUUCUUGUGGUUACAAUAAAUGCGUGUGGGACGUCUACUUCACCGCCGUUUUAGGUACUGGUACUACACGAAAACUGGGCCAUCAAUAUGUCUACAUCAUGGCCGACAACUCUCCCACGACACGACUCAAUAAUAAACAAACCUCCCCUGCAACGUAUGUCGCCUACAUAACACCGAACAGCUUUCCUUUAAUUGUAAACCAACCGACAUGUCACUAACUAUCUUGAAAAAACGAAUCUAGUUAAAUUGAAACAUUCGACACAUAAAACGUCACUUAAAAACGUGAGCCAACUAAGACACCAGCAACGGAAUCGAUAUUUUAUAAGACACGCUGAGCAGGUUUAUGGUUAGAAGAAAUUUUGGGUUCCAAAUUAGAAAACCAACGAAACAAC